AGGCACCAAUCAAAGGUAUUGUAAUAAGGCUUUAAUUGAAUGCUAAAAGAAUGGACUUACCAAGGAAAUUCUAUCUUAAAUUUAAUAAUUGAAGUUAUUUUUAUUUGUGAAGAAACAAUUAUUAAAAUUAAGGACAAGAAGACCCUAAGAAUUUAUAAAAUAUUAUGUAUGUAUUUGUAAAUUAUAUUUACUAAUUGGGGCGAUUAAAGGGGAAACUAAACUUUAUAUUUUCUUUAUUGAUCCAUUAUUAAUGAAUAAAUGAAUAAAAUACGCAAAGGAUAACAGCGGAAUAAUUUUGGAUAAUUUUAUAGAAAAAAUAGUUUGCGACCUCGAUGUUGGAUUAGGAUUCUAAUUUAAUGAAGAAUUUAAGAUUAGAAGUUUGUUCAACUUUUAAAAUCCUUCAUGAUCUGAGUUCAGACCGG
RNAcentral lists this ribosomal RNA (422 nucleotides) under Haemaphysalis punctaleachi. Its description in RNAcentral is "partial small subunit ribosomal RNA". Lineage: Eukaryota; Metazoa; Arthropoda; Arachnida; Ixodida; Ixodidae. The record is from RNAcentral.